Molecule: ribosomal RNA, 459 nt
Filed under: uncultured bacterium
Lineage: Bacteria
Description: bacterial SSU rRNA
Rfam family: Bacterial small subunit ribosomal RNA
Source: RNAcentral
CACUGACGAGUUUGAUCAUGGCUCAGAACGAACGCUGGCGGCAUGCCUAACACAUGCAAGUCGAACGAACCCUUCGGGGUUAGUGGCGCACGGGUGCGUAACGCGUGGGAACCUACCAUCAGGUUCGGAAUAACAGUUAGAAAUGACUGCUAAUACCGGAUAAUGUCUUCGGACCAAAGAUUUAUCGCCUUUUGAUGGGCCCGCGUAAGAUUAGGUAGUUGGUGGGGUAAAAGCCUACCAAGCCGACGAUCUUUAGCUGGUCUGAGAGGAUGAUCAGCCACACUGGGACUGAGACACGGCCCAGACUCCUACGGGAGGCAGCAGUGGGGAAUAUUGGACAAUGGGCGAAAGCCUGAUCCAGCAAUGCCGCGUGAGUGAUGAAGGCCUUAGGGUUGUAAAGCUCUUUUACCAGGGAUGAUAAUGACAGUACCUGGAGAAUAAGCUCCGGCUAACUCCGUG